This 263-nucleotide ribosomal RNA is filed under the name uncultured archaeon. RNAcentral describes it as "partial 16S ribosomal RNA". It matches the Rfam family "Archaeal small subunit ribosomal RNA", at positions 748 to 1008 of the family's 1478-position model. The record is from RNAcentral.
CAGCCGUAAACUAUGCGCGUUAGGUGUACUGGUGACCACGAGUCACCGGGGUGCCGAAGGGAAACCGUGAAACGUGCCGCCUGGGAAGUACGGUCGCAAGGCUGAAACUUAAAGGAAUUGGCGGGGGGAGGCACCACAACAGGUGGAGCCUGCGGUUUAAUUGGAUUCAACGCCGGACAUCUCACCGGAUAAGACAGCUGAAUGAUUGUCAAUCUGAAGGUUUUACAUGACUAGCUGAGAGGAGGUGCAUGGCGUCAGUGACU